This 222-nucleotide ribosomal RNA is filed under the name uncultured Glomeromycotina. Its description in RNAcentral is "partial 18S ribosomal RNA". The stretch from base 38 to 222 matches the Rfam family "Eukaryotic small subunit ribosomal RNA", at positions 684 to 872 of the family's 1831-position model. The record is from RNAcentral. Lineage: Eukaryota; Fungi; Glomeromycota.
GGGUUAGUAAGUUGGUCAUGCCUUCGGUAUGUACUGGCUUUACUGAUUCCUCCUUCUUGACGAACCGUGAUGUUAUUAAUUUGGUAUUGCGGGAAAUCAGGACUGUUACUUUGAAAAAUUAGAGUGUUUAAAGCAGGCUAACGCUUGAAUACAUUAGCAUGGAAUAAUGGAAUAGGACGUUAAUCUUAUUUUGUUGGUUUCUAGGAUCAACGUAAUGAUUAA